RNAcentral lists this ribosomal RNA (450 nucleotides) under uncultured organism. Its description in RNAcentral is "partial 16S ribosomal RNA". It matches the Rfam family "Bacterial small subunit ribosomal RNA", at positions 331 to 797 of the family's 1533-position model. The record is from RNAcentral.
GUACACUCCUACGGGAGGCAGCAGUGGGGAAUAUUGAACAAUGGGCGCAAGCCUGAUCCAGCCAUGCCGCGUGAGUGAUGAAGGCCCUAGGGUUGUAAAGCUCUUUCACCGGUGAAGAUAAUGACGGUAACCGGAGAAGAAGCCCCGGCUAACUUCGUGCCAGCAGCCGCGGUAAUACGAAGGGGGCUAGCGUUGUUCGGAUUUACUGGGCGUAAAGCGCACGUAGGCGGACUAUUAAGUCAGGGGUGAAAUCCCGGGGCUCAACCCCGGAACUGCCUUUGAUACUGGUAGUCUUGAGUUCGAGAGAGGUGAGUGGAAUUCCGAGUGUAGAGGUGAAAUUCGUAGAUAUUCGGAGGAACACCAGUGGCGAAGGCGGCUCACUGGCUCGAUACUGACGCUGAGGUGCGAAAGCGUGGGGAGCAAACAGGAUUAGAAACCCCGGUAGUCCCA